CCCCUUGUGGUGUAGUUGGCUAUCACGUUCGGCUGUAACUGAAAAAUUUCAAACCGAAAGGUCACCGGCUCGAUUCCGGUCGAGGGGA
RNAcentral lists this transfer RNA (88 nucleotides) under Phaeoacremonium minimum UCRPA7. It matches the Rfam family "tRNA". Rfam says of the family: Transfer RNA (tRNA) molecules are approximately 80 nucleotides in length. Their secondary structure includes four short double-helical elements and three loops (D, anti-codon, and T loops). The record is from Rfam by way of RNAcentral. Lineage: Eukaryota; Fungi; Ascomycota; Sordariomycetes; Togniniales; Togniniaceae.